GAUAAGAACGCAGCGAAAUGCGAUAAGUAGUGUGAAUUGCAGAAUUCAGUGAAUCAUCGAAUCUUUGAACGCACAUUGCGCCCCUUGGUAUUCCAUGGGGCAUGCCUGUUCGAGCGUCAUUUGUACCCUCAAGCUUUGCUUGGUGUUGGGUGUUUGUCCCGCGUUGCGCGUGGACUCGCCUUAAAGCGAUUGGCAGCCGGCAUAUUGGCCUUGGAGCGCAGCACAUUUUGCGCUUCUAGUCAUGAAUGUUGGCGUCCAUUAAGCCUAUACAUUUGCUCUUGACCUCGGAUCAGGUAGGGAUACCCGCUGAACUUAAGCAUAUCAAUAAGCGGAGGA
This 336-nucleotide unclassified non-coding RNA is filed under the name soil metagenome. RNAcentral's name for it is "partial contains 5.8S ribosomal RNA, internal transcribed spacer 2, and large subunit ribosomal RNA". The stretch from base 4 to 119 matches the Rfam family "5.8S ribosomal RNA", at positions 39 to 154 of the family's 154-position model. The record is from RNAcentral.